GGGAUUUGGGGAGAUCUUAGAUCCUCAGAGCCUCAGGGUCACAAGGUGCUUUAAUUCAACCCAUAAGAUCAUUGCAUCAAAUCCUUAAUGUCCUGCAUACGAUAAUUAACCAAGGGGUCCUUGUAAGCUGUGAAGCACCAACACAGGCCCAUCACUGUGCUUUCCCACUGUCCUGGCAACUGGUUCACUACCCGUUAUUCUGCUUUUUUCGUGCUAGGUGAGCCAGGAAUGGUUGCAGUGGGAAAGACCCAGCGUGUAGCAACAACUUCAGACUUUUCUAAGACCCCAACAAGGCUGCAGUGAGGCUGAUUGUCUUGGGCAUCCCUUGUAUUUACAAUCCUUCAAAAUCAAAUGGCAGCAACCAAGAAAGCAGUGGUGUCAACCCUAAAUGCCUGCUGUCUGCUCCUCCUUUUCCCAAUUUGCCUGAACACUCUUUGAGAGCACUGGCCGACCUGCAUGUGCUGGAGACUGGAUCAUAUAAUGUGACAAUAAAAUGAAAUUCCAACCUGGAGGAUUUGACCACAGAGGGCCCCGUCUGCCAAGAGAUGUCACCACCCACUCAAAGAUCUCAGAUCCAGAAAAUACUGGUGACAGAUGUUUCCAUCAGUGAUUCUCAGCUGGGCUCCAGGACAAUUAGAAUGCCAGGAAACCCACCUGUGGCAUCCAUUGACAUUGGACCCAAGGAUGGCUUUCCGGCUCGCUAAGAAGCUCCCCCUGUUGACUUGGCUGGGCCUCCAAAAUAAAGAAAUUAGCCCCCGGUGUCUGUUCCCUGCAAGCAUUCAUGACAAGGUCUCUGUCUGGCCUGAGUCUCCUGAAACAACUUGAGAGUAUUACACAGUCCAAGAUAUUAAGUUUAAGACAAUUUAAAAAAAUCUGAACGUUGUCAAAUUUGUCAUUGUCCUACAUGUAUUUUUCAGAAUAUUUGUCUCUUCUUAAUAACACCUUUCUGUACGAACUUCUAGGAAAAGAACACGAUGAUUUAAGCAAUGCCCCCCAGGCUUUCAGGUGCAUCCGAAUCCCCUGGGGAUCUCCU
RNAcentral lists this long non-coding RNA (1033 nucleotides) under Vulpes vulpes (red fox). RNAcentral describes it as "lncRNA (ENSVVUG00000017735.1)". The record is from RNAcentral. Lineage: Eukaryota; Metazoa; Chordata; Mammalia; Carnivora; Canidae.